Molecule: long non-coding RNA, 507 nt
Organism: Dromaius novaehollandiae (emu)
Lineage: Eukaryota; Metazoa; Chordata; Aves; Casuariiformes; Dromaiidae
Exons: 2
Source: RefSeq, a predicted model, not a curated record
CUUAGAGCCAUCGACAGCCUUUGGCUGUACUUGGAGCAGGGCCGGCUGCAGGCACCGGCACGCGGCAUCCGCUGGGCACCUGCUCGCAGUUCUGCCUCGAGCAUCCGCACGGCUGCAGAUCCAACACCCCCAAAGAAUCCUAUGUUCACGCAGAGAGCUCCCCCAGAAAAGCUAUUGCAAAACAGCUUACUCCGGUCAGCUGUCCUGCGGUCAGCUUUCAAGCCAAGGUCAAGAUGACCCCGUCCUCGCUGACCCUGGUGAGUGGCAGAAAGAUUAAUACUGUCAGGAGUGGAAAAAACAAGUAGAAACAAACAGAAGCAGGAAGAUCUGAACACAAAUGCGGUGCUGCAAAGGCCGCACGUGAAGCGGGAGGAUUGCCCCCCAGCACCUGACAUUUUGCUUGUACACACACCUGCAGUGUAGUGGGAAGCAAAGAGUUACUACCUCGACUUGCUUUUGACUAUCCCUAAAUACAGGUGGUUUUUAAUAAACAGACCUUUAAUUGCA